Drosophila albomicans is the source of this 346-nucleotide long non-coding RNA. RefSeq lists it as uncharacterized. The record is from RefSeq and is a predicted model, not a curated record. NCBI's taxonomy places the organism in Eukaryota, Metazoa, Arthropoda, Insecta, Diptera, Drosophilidae. The transcript is spliced from 2 exons.
CAGAUAAUAAAAGUACAACAAGCAGUUAGCAUAAUGUAUAGUUUUACGGUGGAAAACUACAAUGUGCCUAAAGAAGUGCAAUUGGAAAUUAUGACAGAAAAUCUACGCUAUGGAAAUAAUGACAGGGGUUUGCGGCCCUAAAAAAAGAAGACAAUUUCUUUGGUGUUAUGAUCGAUUCAAUAACUGCAGUCGGCGGUAUUGACCCAGCUGAGGACCAAUUGAGAAAGGCCCUGCAGAACCAAAAAAAAAGAGAUAUUUUAAAAACUCGAACUGCCUAAAAGUAAUGAAAGAACAAGACUCGUAAGAAUAAAGACAAAUUUAAAUUAAAUAAAAACUGUAAUUACAA